UACGGAGGGUGCAAGCGUUAUCCGGAUUCACUGGGUUUAAAGGGUGCGUAGGCGGGUAAGUAAGUCCGUGGUGAAAUCUCUGAGCUUAACUCAGAAACUGCCGUGGAUACUAUUUGCCUUGAAUAUUGUGGAGGUGAGCGGAAUAUGUCAUGUAGCGGUGAAAUGCGUAGAUAUCAGUCGGAACACCCAUGGCGAAGGCAGCUGCCUGGCCUAAUACUGACGCUGAGGUGCGAAAGCGUGGGGAGCGAACGGG
RNAcentral lists this ribosomal RNA (253 nucleotides) under uncultured bacterium. RNAcentral's name for it is "partial 16S ribosomal RNA". It matches the Rfam family "Bacterial small subunit ribosomal RNA", at positions 524 to 776 of the family's 1533-position model. The record is from RNAcentral.